Molecule: ribosomal RNA, 737 nt
Filed under: Bacillus subtilis
Lineage: Bacteria; Bacillati; Bacillota; Bacilli; Caryophanales; Bacillaceae
Also listed under: 1 other name
Description: partial 16S ribosomal RNA
Rfam family: Bacterial small subunit ribosomal RNA
Source: RNAcentral
GACGAACGCUGGCGGCGUGCUAAUACAUGCAAGUCGAGCGGACAGAUGGGAGCUUGCUCCUGAUGUUAGCGGCGGACGGGUGAGUAACACGUGGGUAACCUGCCUGUAAGACUGGGAUAACUCCGGGAAACCGGGGCUAAUACCGGAUGGUUGUUUGAACCGCAUGGUUCAAACAUAAAAGGUGGCUUCGGCUACCACUUACAGAUGGACCCGCGGCGCAUUAGCUAGUUGGUGAGGUAACGGCUCACCAAGGCAACGAUGCGUAGCCGACCUGAGAGGGUGAUCGGCCACACUGGGACUGAGACACGGCCCAGACUCCUACGGGAGGCAGCAGUAGGGAAUCUUCCGCAAUGGACGAAAGUCUGACGGAGCAACGCCGCGUGAGUGAUGAAGGUUUUCGGAUCGUAAAGCUCUGUUGUUAGGGAAGAACAAGUACCGUUCGAAUAGGGCGGUACCUUGACGGUACCUAACCAGAAAGCCACGGCUAACUACGUGCCAGCAGCCGCGGUAAUACGUAGGUGGCAAGCGUUGUCCGGAAUUAUUGGGCGUAAAGGGCUCGCAGGCGGUUUCUUAAGUCUGAUGUGAAAGCCCCCGGCUCAACCGGGGAGGGUCAUUGGAAACUGGGGAACUUGAGUGCAGAAGAGGAGAGUGGAAUUCCACGUGUAGCGGUGAAAUGCGUAGAGAUGUGGAGGAACACCAGUGGCGAAGGCGACUCUCUGGUCUGUAACUGACGCUGA